UUUCCACAAAAUAUUACUUUUUUGUUAAUUAGUUAUUUAUUACCCCUGAAUAUUUUUAUCUCUCUUCUAACAUCAUUUAAAAAAGUUGAAGCAUGGAUAUUUUUACAUAGCUACAUACCUCCGUUUCAAAAUAUAAGCCUUUUUAGAUAUUUCAAUACAGACUACAUACGGAUGUAUAUAGAUGUAUUUUAGAGUGUAGAUUCACUCAUUUUGCACCUUAUGUAUUCCGUACUGGAAUCUCUAAAAAAACUUAUAUUUAGGAACAGAGGGAGUUUUAGAGUGUAGAUUCACUCAUUUUGCUUCUUAUGUAGUCCUUAUUGGAAUCUCUAAAAAAACUUAUAUUUAGGAACGGAGGGAGUACUAUAUUUGAUCAUUCUAGAGAAAGUUCACAAAGAAAUUCCACCUAAAUAGCGAUUAGUAAUAUCUCUGCACUAACACUCUCAUCACUCUCACGAAUAGUCUCUAAAAAAAAUAGACAUCAACAUAGCCUCCUCAACCAAAUAAAUGUAUGUGUAUUCACGUAUAUAAAUGUUAACAAAUACAGACAAGACAAUGAACUAUUGAAAGAUUGUGUUAUAGGUAGUAGACGAAACAAUGAAGUAUUGAACACCUUUUGCUAUGCGGAACUUCACAUAAUUAAUACGGAUGUGUUGAAGAGACAAGCUAAAUUGAAGAGACGAUCUAAGUUGGGCAGAAUGUCAACUGAAAAAAAAGUUAAUUACCCAAAAUAACGCAAGGUAAGCAAAAGGGCAGGGGGAUAUGAGCAACUCUGACAUAAAUUGAGGCAAAUCUUCGCUCACUUGAUCCUAAAAAAACUCCAUGCGCAUAUUGGUCACCUCUCUGCAUUUGCCCUUCCCGGCUUCUGAGUAGUACCUCACCGGAGAACACUCUCUUCGUCUUGCGAGCAUGAAAAUUAUGAGUAAGAAGAAACCAUGCGAAGAUAAAAAAUAUAUAGAGAAAGGUCAGUAGACCAUAAGCAUCUCCUUAUCUCCACUAGAAAAAAUCUCCACGGGCUGCAGGCAGGGGAUAACAGGAGACCACAAGCCGAUUUCUCAUGAAGAAUCCAAAAUCCACACAAUUGCUGGAUCCUAGCAGACUAAGCAUCUGGGAAGGAAGGGGAAGGAGGGGAAGAGGAGAGAUUACCUGGAGGAGAGCUGCCGCUUAGGUUCAAGGGGCGCGAACUCCAUGGCCAUCCAAUCGAUGGCGGCGCGCGAGCAGCAGGCACGUGUAGUCGAGCUGGAGGACCGGCCGCCGCCGAGAGCCUGCAACGACGACACUCUGCCGCAAAUCCUACUCACCACGUCCUUCUCACUUACUGGAUCUAGCAACGAUCUGUGGAUGAACCCCUAGAUCAGGGAAGAAAAAGAGAAAAACGAACGAGAAUGGGAAAUGGGUUCACGUCAAGAGAAAAGAAUGAAAAAAGGCAUGAAUGGGAG
RNAcentral lists this long non-coding RNA (1436 nucleotides) under Triticum aestivum (bread wheat). Its description in RNAcentral is "long non-coding RNA (TAES_LNC000339)". Lineage: Eukaryota; Viridiplantae; Streptophyta; Magnoliopsida; Poales; Poaceae. The record is from RNAcentral.